UACAGAGGGGGCAAGCGUUGUCCGGAUUCAUUGGGCGUAAAGAGCGUGUAGGCGGCCAGGUAGGUCGGUUGUGAAAACUGGAGGCUCAACCUUCAGAGGUCGACCGAAACCAUCUGGCUAGAGUCCGGGAGAGGAGAGUGGAAUUCCUGGUGUAGCGGUGAAAUGCGCAGAUAUCAGGAAGAACACCCGUGGCGAAAGCGGCUCUCUGGAACGGUACUGACGCUGAGACGCGAAAGCGUGGGGGAGCGGACAGG
RNAcentral lists this ribosomal RNA (254 nucleotides) under uncultured bacterium. RNAcentral describes it as "partial 16S ribosomal RNA". It matches the Rfam family "Bacterial small subunit ribosomal RNA", at positions 524 to 776 of the family's 1533-position model. The record is from RNAcentral.